UGCCAGACUCCUACGGGAGGCAGCAGUGAGGAAUAUUGGUCAAUGGGCGGAAGCCUGAACCAGCCAAGUCGCGUGAGGGAAGACUGCCCUAUGGGUUGUAAACCUCUUUUGUCAGGGAGCAAUUGGCGCUACGUGUAGCGUUAUCGAGAGUACCUGAAGAAAAAGCAUCGGCUAACUCCGUGCCAGCGGCCGCGGUAAUACGGAGGAUGCGAGCGUUAUCCGGAUUUAUUGGGUUUAAAGGGUGCGUAGGCGGAAUGCCAAGUCAGCGGUAAAAUCGCGGGGCUCAACCUCGCUCCGCCGUUGAAACUGGCGUUCUUGAGUGGGCGAGAAGUAUGCGGAAUGCGUGGUGUAGCGGUGAAAUGCAUAGAUAUCACGCAGAACUCCGAUUGCGAAGGCAGCAUACCGGCGCCCAACUGACGCUGAAGCACGAAAGCGUGGGUAUCGAACAGGAUUAGAUACCCCCGUAC
Molecule: ribosomal RNA, 467 nt
Filed under: uncultured bacterium
Lineage: Bacteria
Description: bacterial SSU rRNA
Rfam family: Bacterial small subunit ribosomal RNA
Source: RNAcentral